RNAcentral lists this small RNA (26 nucleotides) under Bombyx mori (domestic silkworm). RNAcentral describes it as "ovarian small RNA-37478". The record is from RNAcentral. Lineage: Eukaryota; Metazoa; Arthropoda; Insecta; Lepidoptera; Bombycidae.
UUCUAGUGGAUAUAAGUAAAAGUAGC